Molecule: RNA transcript, 581 nt
Organism: Mirounga angustirostris (Northern elephant seal)
Lineage: Eukaryota; Metazoa; Chordata; Mammalia; Carnivora; Phocidae
Gene name: histone H2B type 1-C/E/F/G/I-like
Exons: 3
Source: RefSeq, a predicted model, not a curated record
ACAUCUUCGUACUUUUAUUUGCUUUGUCAAUCGAGUUGUUGGUAGUCAGGAUGCCCGAGCCCGCCAAGUCGGCCCCGGCGCCGAAGAAGGGGUCCAAGAAGGCGGUGACCAAGGCGCAGAAGAAGGACGGCAAGAAGCGCAAGCGCAGCCGCAAGGAGAGCUACUCGGUGUACGUGUACAAGGUGCUGAAGCAGGUGCACCCCGACACGGGCAUCUCGUCCAAGGCCAUGGGCAUCAUGAACUCGUUCGUCAACGACAUCUUCGAGCGCAUCGCGGGCGAGGCGUCCCGCCUGGCGCAUUACAACAAGCGCUCGACCAUCACGUCGCGGGAGAUCCAGACGGCCGUGCGCCUGCUGCUGCCCGGGGAGCUGGCCAAGCACGCCGUGUCCGAGGGCACCAAGGCCGUCACCAAGUACACCAGCUCCAAGUGAGCUUGCCAAGGACUAACAGUCUCAAGUUUACCACCAUCAGUUCUCCCAGGCAGGGACACUUAAGGAAAGCUGAACAAAGAAUGCACCAAGAAAAGAGAUAUGUAGCUCAGUGCUGGAGAAAGGAGAUAAUCGAUGUAAAAAUACUAAAGU